RNAcentral lists this small RNA (484 nucleotides) under Arabidopsis thaliana (thale cress). Its description in RNAcentral is "ATSL174270". Lineage: Eukaryota; Viridiplantae; Streptophyta; Magnoliopsida; Brassicales; Brassicaceae. The record is from RNAcentral.
GUUAUUAUUAUUUUUUUUUUUUAAAGUAUACAGUAGUAGUUUUUCCUUGAUAUCCUUAUUUUUAAAAGGGUGAUUUGCAGAUAUAUCACUUUUUCAUUAAAUAAUUAACUAACUAACACCAUAAAUUUAUAAAUGUAGUAAAUAACCUUUAAGGGGUGUGAAAAGACAUCACUGGCCUGGUGUUACGUUUGUCAGCGAGGAAGGAGAAUGUUUAGUGUGAGCUGACGUGACUUUAUUAUUGGUGUUGAGGUGAGAAAAAAAAUCAGGUGGUAGGAGAGAAGUCCUUUUUCUCUUUCUUUUUUCUUUACCCCUUCCCAAUUGUAAUUCAUAUUAUCUAAUCUUAAAAAAAAUAAUUCAAGUUCAUGAUAUAUCAAUUAAAAAGUUGUAUAGUUUUCUACAUAUAUCAUGACUUAAAUUUUCAAGGCAGACACAAAAUAAUUUAGAUGUGAAUAGUGUUGUCAAUGAAUAACAUAACCUUUUAUAU